Molecule: unclassified non-coding RNA, 390 nt
Filed under: soil metagenome
Description: partial contains 5.8S ribosomal RNA, internal transcribed spacer 2, and large subunit ribosomal RNA
Rfam family: 5.8S ribosomal RNA (bases 1-122)
Source: RNAcentral
GAUGAAGAACGCAGCGAAAUGCGAUACUUGGUGUGAAUUGCAGAAUCCCGUGAACCAUCGAGUCUUUGAACGCAAGUUGCGCCCGAAGCCAUUAGGCCGAGGGCACGCCUGCCUGGGCGUCACACGUCGUUGCCCCCCCAUCUACUCCUUCGGGAUUGCGGGGGGCGGAUGAUGGCCUCCCGUGCGCCUUGUCGCGCGGUUGGCAUAAAUACCAAGUCCUCGGCGACGCACGCCACGACAAUCGGUGGUUGCGAAACCUCGGUUGCCUGUCGUGUGCGGUCGUCGCGCAUCGAGGGCUCGAAAAAAUUGUCAGGCUCCGGCUCGGCUUUCAACGCGACCCCAGGUCAGGCGGGGUUACCCGCUGAAUUUAAGCAUAUCAAAAGCGGAGGA